GACGAACGCUGGCGGCGUGCUUAACACAUGCAAGUCGAACGAGGUCCACCGCGUAGCAAUACAAGGGAAGACCUAGUGGCGAACGGGUGCGUAACACGUGAGGAACUUGUCCCGGUCUCUGGGAUAACAGUUGGAAACGACUGCUAAUACCGGAUGACGUCGGAAUCUCGCAUGGGAUACUGACGAAAGGGUUACUGGAUCGGGAGAGCCUCGCGGCCUAUCAGCUUGUUGGUGAGGUAACGGCUCACCAAGGCAUCGACGGGUAGCUGGUCUGAGAGGAUGAUCAGCCACACUGGGACUGAGACACGGCCCAGACUCCUACGGGAGGCAGCAGUGGGGAAUCUUGCGCAAUGGGCGAAAGCCUGACGCAGCAACGCCGCGUGCGGGAAGAAGGCCCUCGGGUUGUAAACCGCUUUCAGCAGGACGAAAAUGACGGUACUUGCAGAAGAAGGUGCGGCCAACUACGUGCCAGCAGCCGCGGUAAAGUCUGUACU
RNAcentral lists this ribosomal RNA (494 nucleotides) under uncultured bacterium. Its description in RNAcentral is "bacterial SSU rRNA". It matches the Rfam family "Bacterial small subunit ribosomal RNA", at positions 28 to 535 of the family's 1533-position model. The record is from RNAcentral.